AUACGGAGGGUGCAAGCGUUGUUCGGAAUUACUGGGCGUAAAGCGCGUGCAGGCGGUAAGGUAAGUCAGAUGUGAAAGCCCCGGGCUCAACCCGGGAAGUGCAUUUGAUACUGCCUUUCUUGAGUAUGGGAGAGGAGAGUGGAAUUCCCAGGGUAGAGGUGAAAUUCGUAGAUAUUGGGAGGAACACCCGUGGCGAAGGCGACUCGCUGGACCAAUACUGACGCUGAGACGCGAAAGCGUGGGGAGCGAACAGGAUUAGAAACCCCAGUAGUCC
This 274-nucleotide ribosomal RNA is filed under the name uncultured bacterium. RNAcentral describes it as "partial 16S ribosomal RNA". It matches the Rfam family "Bacterial small subunit ribosomal RNA", at positions 523 to 796 of the family's 1533-position model. The record is from RNAcentral.